GACGAACGCUGGCGGCGUGCUUAACACAUGCAAGUCGAACGGAAAGGCCCUGCUUUUGUGGGGUGCUCGAGUGGCGAACGGGUGAGUAACACGUGAGUAACCUGCCCUUGACUUUGGGAUAACUUCAGGAAACUGGGGCUAAUACCGGAUAGGAGCUCCUGCUGCAUGGUGGGGGUUGGAAAGUUUCGGCGGUUGGGGAUGGACGCGCGGCUUAUCAGCUUGUUGGUGGGGUAGUGGCUUACCAAGGCUUUGACGGGUAGCCGGCCUGAGAGGGUGACCGGCCACAUUGGGACUGAGAUACGGACCAGACUCCUACGGGAGGCAGCAGUGGGGAGUAUUGCACAAUGGGCGGAAGCCUGAUGCAGCAACGCCGCGUGCGGGAUGACGGCCUUCGGGUUGUGAACCGCUUUAGCCUGUGACGAAGCGUGAGUGACGGUAAUGGGUAAAGAAGCACCGGCUAACUACGUG
Molecule: ribosomal RNA, 468 nt
Filed under: uncultured bacterium
Lineage: Bacteria
Description: partial 16S ribosomal RNA
Rfam family: Bacterial small subunit ribosomal RNA
Source: RNAcentral